AAUAAUAAGUCAGUGGUGAAAUCUUGCCGCUUAACGGUGAAACUGCCAUUGAAACUGUUAUUCUUGAGUGUAGUUGAGGUAGGCGGAAUGUGUAGUGUAGCGGUGAAAUGCUUAGAUAUUACACAGAACACCUAUUGCGAAGGCAGCUUACUAAACUACUACUGACGUUGAGGCACGAAAGCGUGGGGAGCGAACAGGAUUAGAUACCCUGGUAGUCCACGCUGUAAACUAUGAUCACUCGUUGUUCGCGAUACAUUGUGAGCGACCAAGCGAAAGCAUUAAGUGAUCCACCUGGGGAUUACGUCGGCAACGAUGAAACUCAAAGGAAUUGACGGGGGCCCGCACAAGCGGAGGAACAUGUGGUUUAAUUCGAUGAUACGCGAGGAACCUUACCUGGGCUUAAAUGCAGAACGAUAUAUCGGGAAACUGGUAUUCCCUUCGGGGCGGACUGCAAGGUGCUGCAUGGUUGUCGUCAGCUCGUGCCGUGAGGUGUCGGGUUAAGUCCCAUAACGAGCGCAACCCUUAUUGUUAGUUGCCAGCGGGUAAUGCCGGGGACUCUAACGGAACUGCCAUCGUAAGGUGGAGGAAGGUGGGGAUGACGUCAAAUCAGCACGGCCCUUAUGUCCAGGGCUACACACGUGUUACAAUGGCCAGUACAAAGGGCAGCUACCUGGAGACAGGAUGCUAAUCUCGAAAACUGGUCUCAGUUCGGAUCGUAGUCUGCAAUUCGACUACGUGAAGUU
RNAcentral lists this ribosomal RNA (743 nucleotides) under uncultured organism. RNAcentral describes it as "bacterial SSU rRNA". It matches the Rfam family "Bacterial small subunit ribosomal RNA", at positions 579 to 1327 of the family's 1533-position model. The record is from RNAcentral.